RNAcentral lists this ribosomal RNA (330 nucleotides) under uncultured bacterium. RNAcentral describes it as "bacterial SSU rRNA". It matches the Rfam family "Bacterial small subunit ribosomal RNA", at positions 568 to 898 of the family's 1533-position model. The record is from RNAcentral.
UCCGUAGGCGGUGCGGCAAGUCGAUAGUGAAAUCCCUGGGCUUAACCCAGGGGCUGCUAACGAAACUGCCGUGCUCGAGUGUGAGAGAGGCGAGUGGAAUUACGGGUGUAGCGGUGAAAUGCGUAGAUAUCCGUAGGAACAUCCGAGGCGAAAGCGGCUCGCUGGAUCACAACUGACGCUGAGGGACGAAAGCUAGGGGAGCAAACGAGGAUUAGAUACCCUGGUAGUCCUAGCCCUAAACCAUCAGGACUUGGGUUUGCCCUGUACGGGGCAAGUCCCGUAGCUAACGCGUUAAGUCCUGCGCCUGGGGAGUACGGUCGCAAGGCUGAA